This 1441-nucleotide long non-coding RNA is filed under the name Cottoperca gobio. RNAcentral's name for it is "lncRNA (ENSCGOG00000022511.1)". Lineage: Eukaryota; Metazoa; Chordata; Actinopteri; Perciformes; Bovichtidae. The record is from RNAcentral.
AGGAACCGCAAAGCUACAGCUACUGUAUAUCGACCAGGCCUCAGUGACACAGCAGCUGCUGGAAACCUGCUCAGUGCACUGCUGUGCUUUGACUGCGAGAGGAGUUCUGAUUAGUCAAGCAGAGAGCCAACAGAUAAUGAGAAGAGUCUCGGCUGACGACCUCCCCAAGCCCGUGUUUCUGCAGAUUUGGACGUCACUUUGAUUGGGCGGAUCCCACCUUUCCAAUCCCAGGGACACACAUUCAUCUAUUAAUGUUAGGCACUUAAACCAUAUAAAAGGAGGAUUUGUUAAACCUCACUAAGUUUUCAUGAAUGGUUUUGCAGUACUAUACACUCAAGAGCUGCACUAGUGUAUAGCACUGUUGUUAUUUUUAGCUUUUUUGAGUUUGGGGUCUCAUUUAAUGACUUAACGGAUUUGGUUUUGUGCUUAGAUUGCCUAUGUGACUGUAAUUAUUUAGAAUGUGUUCAGUAAAGCUUAAAAACUAAUCUUGAACCAGUUGAAAAGGUGGCGGUGGUCUAAUGGUUAGACGUCUGAGUUACCAGGGCUGUCACCAUUGUGCCCCCAGGGAGACUGUCCUUGUGGUUAGUUCACUGUGAGUCAGUCUGAAUAUAAUCAUUAAAAUGUAAAAAAAAAGGUUCCUGUAUUAUACAUUAUUAGAGACUUUAUUUAUGGAGGUGGAAACUGCUGUAGGAAUAAUUUCAUUUCAUUUUGUACCCUGUUGUUUUUGUUUUGAUUUCAUUAGUUUUUAGUACAUGUGAGGUGAAUACACGAUGAGCUUUUCUGAUUCACUUUCUGUACGUUGAUUUCUACAGAAGAAAAGUAAAGCACUUGAUGUGUUUUGAGUCACAUACAGUAACUACUCCUAGAGCCACAGACCCCACAAGCCACAAUCUUAUCUUAAUGAAUAUGGGCAGAUAGACAAGAAAUUGCAGCCAAAUAAAAGAAUAAUAAAGGCAUCUAAACCCUAACAAGUCUGCCUUUGUUCUUCCACUCCACCCACCACAAGCUGGCUGUGUGAAAGCAGGCGUUGUUGCAGCUUUGAGGGCAGCUCUGAGAGUUCCAUGCCCAUCGGCCUUCAAUCACAAGGGAUGUCUGAGUUUGACAGUAUAAAGUCUUUCUUCUAGAACAAAAUAAGACCCCUAAGCAAUAGUGGAUGAGCUGUUAGUAACCAUACAGUCCACAGGGAGGUAGACCAAGCAUGGUAGUACAGUACACACAAAGUGUUGGUUAGGGAUAAGACAAUGGACCAGUGAAAACAUUACUGCAUGCUGCAACACUCCAAAAUGUGCUUCUUUUACUAACAGAAGUUAACUGUAUGUGUUUAGUUUGGUAAAAAUUCAAUUUGACUUUAUACUAACCAAAAACAAAGUUCAUGAAAACAGCAGUUAAUGUUUUCAAAAUAAAAUGUACUUACUGAUUUAUACAAACAAUAUUGAAAGUA